This is a regulatory RNA element of Candidatus Accumulibacter, 98 nucleotides long. It matches the Rfam family "c-di-GMP-I riboswitch aptamer". Rfam says of the family: GEMM was predicted in a large-scale screen for bacterial structured RNA regulatory elements. Genes associated with GEMM are involved in a diverse array of functions, including chemotaxis regulation, signal transduction, secretion and chitin. The record is from Rfam. Lineage: Bacteria; Pseudomonadati; Pseudomonadota; Betaproteobacteria.
UCCUGUCAAUGGCAAACGGAGGGAAACCUCCGGACGCAAAGCCACGGACCCUACCCCGAGUUGCCUCAUCGGCUCGGAAGGGUGGCCGGGUUGCCCGA